RNAcentral lists this ribosomal RNA (504 nucleotides) under uncultured bacterium. Its description in RNAcentral is "partial 16S ribosomal RNA". It matches the Rfam family "Bacterial small subunit ribosomal RNA", at positions 28 to 523 of the family's 1533-position model. The record is from RNAcentral.
GAUGAACGCUAGCUACAGGCUUAACACAUGCAAGUCGAGGGGCAGCAUAAAUCUAGCAAUAGAUUUGAUGGCGACCGGCGCACGGGUGAGUAUCACGUAUCCAACCUACCUAUUACUCGGGUAUAGCCUUUCGAAAGAAAGAUUAAUCCCCGAUACGAUAUUGAGUUCGCAUGAAUUUGAUAUGAAAGAUUUAUUGGUAUUAGAUGGGGAUGCGUUCCAUUAGAUUGUUGGUGAGGUAACGGCUCACCAAGUCUUCGAUGGAUAGGGGUUCUGAGAGGAAGGCCCCCCACACUGGAACAGAGACACGGUCCAGACUCCUACGGGAGGCAGCAGUGAGGAAUAUUGGUCAAUGGGCGAGAGCCUGAACCAGCCAAGUAGCGUGAGGGAUGACUGCCCUAUGGGUUGUAAACCUCUUUUAUAAGGGAAUAAAACGCUCCACGAGUGGAGCUUUGCAUGUACCUUUUGAAUAAGGAUCGGCUAACUCCGUGCCAGCAGCCGCCGUAA